RNAcentral lists this long non-coding RNA (578 nucleotides) under Manihot esculenta (cassava). RNAcentral's name for it is "long non-coding RNA (MESC_LNC004010)". The record is from RNAcentral. Lineage: Eukaryota; Viridiplantae; Streptophyta; Magnoliopsida; Malpighiales; Euphorbiaceae.
AUGGACAUUUCAUUUUCAAUUCAACAACUUCAUUAAAAAAUAUCAAAAUAAUCGAUGACAAUGGUAAUUUCAUCAAUAACAGUUUACCCAAAGGAAAAAGAAACAAAGAAACACUUUCAAACAAAGAAAAGAAAUAAAAAAAAAAAAAAACUUUGGUUGUAUAAAUUAAAAAACACUCUCAAACACAAAGUCAUUUAUAUAGAUCUAAACGUAAAUACAAAAGCUUUUAUUGUUGGGACGAGGCCACCAUGGAGAGCAACGGUUCUUGCGUCGAUGAUUCAUCACAGUAAAAGCAGGUGGUCACAAUUAAAAGGGCUUCUUUGCGAGCAAGAACGAUGAGGGGGGCUUAUUCUUCAUGAGUGGUGAUGACGACGAGGAGAGCUUCUCCUUCAGGAUGGCUGGAGGGAGGGAGAGAGGAUAGGGAGAAAAAAUUGAAAUAAAGAAAUUGAUUGUUGAAACAAAGAAGAAGAAAUUGAAGACAGGUCAGCUUGAGGGAGAGAGGAGAGAGGGUAGGGAAAAGAGAAAUGGGUGGCUGUACAAAUAUGAUAGUGUUUUAUUAUGUUGUUUAUAUAUAGUGG